CACGUAGGGACCAAGCGUUGUCCGGAUUUAUUGGGCGUAAAGAGCUCGUAGGCGGCUUGGUAAGUCGGGUGUGAAACCUCCAGGCUCAACCUGGUGACGCCACCCGAUACUGCUAUAGCUUGAGUUCGGUAGGGGAGCGGGGAAUUCCUGGUGUAGCGGUGAAAUGCGCAGAUAUCAGGAGGAACACCGGUGGCGAAGGCGCCGCUCUGGGCCGAAACUGACGCUGAGGAGCGAAAGCGUGGGGAGCAAACAGG
This 254-nucleotide ribosomal RNA is filed under the name uncultured bacterium. Its description in RNAcentral is "partial 16S ribosomal RNA". It matches the Rfam family "Bacterial small subunit ribosomal RNA", at positions 524 to 776 of the family's 1533-position model. The record is from RNAcentral.